UACGGGAGUGGCAAGCGUUAUCCGGAAUUAUUGGGCGUAAAGCGUCCGCAGGCGGCCUUGUAAGUCUGUCGUUAAAGCGUGGAGCUCAACUCCAUUUCAGCGAUGGAAACUACAAGGUUUGAGUGUGGUAGGGGCAGAGGGAAUUCCCGGUGUAGCGGUGAAAUGCGUAGAUAUCGGGAAGAACACCAGUGGCGAAGGCGCUCUGCUGGGCCAUAACUGACGCUCAUGGACGAAAGCCAGGGGAGCGAAAGGG
Molecule: ribosomal RNA, 253 nt
Filed under: uncultured bacterium
Lineage: Bacteria
Description: partial 16S ribosomal RNA
Rfam family: Bacterial small subunit ribosomal RNA
Source: RNAcentral